Molecule: transfer RNA, 73 nt
Filed under: Pseudomonadota bacterium
Lineage: Bacteria; Pseudomonadati; Pseudomonadota
Also listed under: 2 other names
Description: tRNA-Ala
Rfam family: tRNA
About the family: Transfer RNA (tRNA) molecules are approximately 80 nucleotides in length.
Source: RNAcentral
GGGGACGUAGCUCAGACGGGAGAGCGCCUGCUUUGCAAGCAGGAAGUCAGGGGUUCGAGUCCCCUCGUCUCCA